UAGAUGUGUUAGACCAAAUGGGGACGG
RNAcentral lists this non-coding RNA (27 nucleotides) under Cricetulus griseus (Chinese hamster). Lineage: Eukaryota; Metazoa; Chordata; Mammalia; Rodentia; Cricetidae. The record is from RNAcentral.